GACGGUGUCCCAGCCAACUAGAGGAGCCUGUCCUAUAAUCGAUGAUCCACGUUUCACCUGACCCCCCCUUGCCCCCACAGUCUGUAUACCUCCGUCGUAAACCCGCCAUUUGAGUGACCCUCAGCGGAUUCAAUGGCCCUAUCGCAAAUACGUCAGGUCAAGGUGCAGCCCACGGGGGGAGAAGUGAUGGGCUACAAUUUCUAGUUUAGAACAAACGAAAUACUGCAUGAAACACAUUCAUGAAGGAGGAUUUAGUAGUAAAAAGAAAAUAGCAUAUUCUUUUUAACAUGGCUCUGGGACGUGUACACACCGC
RNAcentral lists this ribosomal RNA (313 nucleotides) under Phrynoderma karaavali. RNAcentral's name for it is "partial small subunit ribosomal RNA". Lineage: Eukaryota; Metazoa; Chordata; Amphibia; Anura; Dicroglossidae. The record is from RNAcentral.